Molecule: long non-coding RNA, 112 nt
Filed under: Sus scrofa (pig)
Lineage: Eukaryota; Metazoa; Chordata; Mammalia; Artiodactyla; Suidae
Description: lncRNA (ENSSSCG00030051795.1, ENSSSCG00040025745.1)
Source: RNAcentral
GCUGUGUAAUAGAAGGAGGAGAAUUGGGAGUUCCCAUGGCAAGGCUGAAGCAAAGAGGAAAUGGAAGUUUGGAGAAAAUAAUUGGAUAAUCCUACCUCUAGGAUAGAAGUGG